UCGUGGUUGUGUUGUUACAACCGGAAGGAAAGGUUUUGUGUUGUGUUGUCAAGUUUUAUAUUUCUGGGGUGUUUAGUUGUGUGCCAAGUUUCGUAUUUCUGGGGCGUUUAGUUGUGUUGUUAUAGUCACGAUGUGUUGUUGUGAGUUUUAUGGGUCCGGAUUGUGGUUUUGUGGUGUGGUUGUGUUGUUACAACCUGGAGGGAAGGCUUUUGCGUUGUGUUGCCAAGUUUCGUAUUUCUGGGGCGUUUAGUUGUGUUGUUAUAGUCACAAUGCGUUGUUGUGAGUUUUGUGGGUCCUGUGUGGUUUUGUGGUGUGGUUGUGUUGUUACAACUGGGAGGCAAGGCUUUUGCAUUGUGUUAUAGAAUGC
This 367-nucleotide long non-coding RNA is filed under the name Anolis carolinensis (green anole). RNAcentral describes it as "lncRNA (ENSACAG00000042726.1)". The record is from RNAcentral. Lineage: Eukaryota; Metazoa; Chordata; Lepidosauria; Squamata; Anolidae.